RNAcentral lists this long non-coding RNA (279 nucleotides) under Setaria viridis. RNAcentral's name for it is "long non-coding RNA (SVIR_LNC011260)". The record is from RNAcentral. Lineage: Eukaryota; Viridiplantae; Streptophyta; Magnoliopsida; Poales; Poaceae.
GCCGGUAGGAGGGAGUGGUAUGGUUGCCAUGCGCUAGCUUAAGUAGCUGGCUUUUGGAGCUACUGUCACGAGCAGUCCGGAUUUGCAUUGGCCUUGUAAAAAAAAUACGCAACUAAUUUAACAUUUCAGUUUGGUUGCAUACUAUAUACUGAUCUGUCGUACCUAUGAAUAUAUAUUUUGUUUACAGAGCAAAUAAUGGCGGAAUUAAUCCUAAUUUUGUAGAUGGUGCCAGUUAAAAUAGGCACUCGCUGAUUCCGCACGCACACACCAGUGUAGUGU